This 427-nucleotide ribosomal RNA is filed under the name uncultured bacterium. Its description in RNAcentral is "bacterial SSU rRNA". It matches the Rfam family "Bacterial small subunit ribosomal RNA", at positions 355 to 774 of the family's 1533-position model. The record is from RNAcentral.
UGGGGAAUUUUGGACAAUGGGCGCAAGCCUGAUCCAGCCAUGCCGCGUGUCUGAAGAAGGCCUUCGGGUUGUAAAGGACUUUUGUCAGGGAAGAAAAGGACAGGGUUAAUACCCCUGUCUGAUGACGGUACCUGAAGAAUAAGCACCGGCUAACUACGUGCCAGCAGCCGCGGUAAUACGUAGGGUGCGAGCGUUAAUCGGAAUUACUGGGCGUAAAGCGAGCGCAGACGGUUACUUAAGCAGGAUGUGAAAUCCCCGGGCUCAACCUGGGAACUGCGUUCUGAACUGGGUGACUAGAGUGUGUCAGAGGGAGGUAGAAUUCCACGUGUAGCAGUGAAAUGCGUAGAGAUGUGGAGGAAUACCGAUGGCGAAGGCAGCCUCCUGGGAUAACACUGACGUUCAUGCUCGAAAGCGUGGGUAGCAAACA